CAGAACUCCAGGUCAAUUAUCAUGAUGACAGACAGGUGGGGUCUGGAGCUGCUCUUCAGCCAGGCAUCAUCAACAUCUACACAAACCUUCUCCCCACACUAAAAGAUAGCACAUCACCACCGCAAGUCAAAUGCUGUUACGCCCGGUGGGAGUGGCUAGAUGCACCUGUGGCUCCUUACAAUCAGCAAGGAUGGUUAAAUGAUGAGCCAACUUGAGCAUUGUGGCCAGUGGGCCGAAUCAGCUGCCAGAGUGUGGUGUUGUUGUCUUGCGUUCUGCUUAAGGACUAGUCUCUGCUGGCUAAAGAGCUGGGUAGAGUGACCAGCUUUGCACUUAUGAGGUGUGCUUUUGUGUCGGAAUCGUCUUUUUAGAUAAAUAAAUGUUCUUUUGUUGAUGUUACCCAAUCAGUUUUCGUGCCUCUGUAUCUGUUUCUUCUUUAUAUUCGUUACUCCCCUCAUCCCCUAGUUCUCGGGGACAUAACAUGGACAGUGGACAUGAAAAGACUUCUGUGGGUCUCAGACAAUGAAUCCUCAAGACUUUAGUAAUGCUUUAAUUUUUCCUCAAGCACCACCAGUUUAACAUGUUUGGUUUCAUAUUAAAUGUCUUUACUUUUGACUUAGUUAUCAUCAGAUUUUGUCCUGUCAUGAUGACUGAGUCCUAAUGACUUUGUUGAUUCUCUUCUGUUUCAG
Amphiprion ocellaris (clown anemonefish) is the source of this 686-nucleotide long non-coding RNA. The record is from Ensembl. Lineage: Eukaryota; Metazoa; Chordata; Actinopteri; Pomacentridae.